This 63-nucleotide small RNA is filed under the name Halpernia humi. Its description in RNAcentral is "Chryseobacterium humi Flavo-1 RNA". It matches the Rfam family "Flavo-1 RNA". Lineage: Bacteria; Pseudomonadati; Bacteroidota; Flavobacteriia; Flavobacteriales; Weeksellaceae. The record is from RNAcentral.
AACUAGCCCCGAUGGAAGCGGCAUCCCCGCCGCGGCGGGAUAUAGCGGACAGCGGGAAAUAGC